RNAcentral lists this ribosomal RNA (837 nucleotides) under Actinomadura sp. IM-5243. Its description in RNAcentral is "bacterial SSU rRNA". It matches the Rfam family "Bacterial small subunit ribosomal RNA", at positions 38 to 889 of the family's 1533-position model. The record is from RNAcentral. Lineage: Bacteria; Bacillati; Actinomycetota; Actinomycetes; Streptosporangiales; Thermomonosporaceae.
GGCGGCGUGCUUAACACAUGCAAGUCGAGCGGAAAGGCCCCUUCGGGGGUACUCGAGCGGCGAACGGGUGAGUAACACGUGAGCAACCUGCCCCUGACUCUGGGAUAAGCCCGGGAAACUGGGUCUAAUACCGGAUAUGACCACUCCGGGCAUCUGGUGGUGGUGGAAAGUUUUUCGGUUGGGGAUGGGCUCGCGGCCUAUCAGCUUGUUGGUGGGGUGAUGGCCUACCAAGGCGACGACGGGUAACCGGCCUGAGAGGGCGACCGGUCACACUGGGACUGAGACACGGCCCAGACUCCUACGGGAGGCAGCAGUGGGGAAUAUUGCGCAAUGGGCGGAAGCCUGACGCAGCGACGCCGCGUGGGGGAUGACGGCCUUCGGGUUGUAAACCUCUUUCAGCAGGGACGAAGCUAACGUGACGGUACCUGCAGAAGAAGCGCCGGCUAACUACGUGCCAGCAGCCGCGGUAAUACGUAGGGCGCAAGCGUUGUCCGGAAUUAUUGGGCGUAAAGAGCUCGUAGGCGGUUUGUUGCGUCCGUCGUGAAAGCCCACGGCUUAACCGUGGGUCUGCGGUGGAUACGGGCAGACUAGAGGCAGGUAGGGGAGAACGGAAUUCCCGGUGUAGCGGUGAAAUGCGCAGAUAUCGGGAGGAACACCGGUGGCGAAGGCGGUUCUCUGGGCCUGUACUGACGCUGAGGAGCGAAAGCGUGGGGAGCGAACAGGAUUAGAUACCCUGGUAGUCCACGCCGUAAACGUUGGGCGCUAGGUGUGGGGUCCUUCCACGGAUUCCGCGCCGCAGCUAACGCAUUAAGCGCCCCGCCUGGGGAGUACGGCCGC